RNAcentral lists this unclassified non-coding RNA (320 nucleotides) under Hevea brasiliensis (rubber tree). Lineage: Eukaryota; Viridiplantae; Streptophyta; Magnoliopsida; Malpighiales; Euphorbiaceae. The record is from RNAcentral.
GUACAAUUUUAUUAAUCAUUACAAGUUGAAAAUUUUCAACAAGACAAUCUGGUAUUUCGAUUUGCAAAGCAUGUUCAAUAGUUUCAUUGAUUCCACGUUCUUAUAACCUUCAUGAACUUAUCAUCAACUUUACCAUUAUAUGGCUAACAAAUUUACUAUCAAAAUUGAUCAGAUACAACUCGUAAACGUAAUUAGAACUGAAAGCCUAAACUCAAUUUGCAAAAUUUGCAAAGCUUGAUCUCUCUGUACUUUAAAUCAUUGCAUACCUCUUCAAUGUCUGCUUCCCCGCCACAACAGCCCCAGCCACCAACCCUCCCAAC